GUUCAUUGUGCCCUUUUUUUAGAUUCCAGCAAUCAUCACGCCCACAUUUUCACAGUGUAAUUAGCCUGUGAUUUAUUGCCAGUCUUUCCCAUCCAUGGUUCCUCCAUAUCCUCAGAUUCAAUCCGCUUCAGACUCUGCAGUACAGCCAUAGUUACUGUUGAAAAUGUCUGCGAAGUGCAAAACCGUUUUGUUCAAGGGUCAACUAUAAUUUUCCUGUCAGAAGCACUUCCUUCCUAACCUCAUUUGUCGUCUUCAAGUUUUGAAAGCAUUAUCAGAUGAAAACAAAACGGAGUCUAAAUGGCGAGUCUAUAGGUCUCCCCGGUCCGUGGCCAUGGAUAAGGUUUCAUUAACAAUGUCAGCCCAGGAGUUUGGUGGCUCAGCAGGGUAAGGAUCCGGCAUUGCCAUUGCCGUGGCUCAGGUUGCAGCCAUGGUACGGGGUCGAUCCCUGGCUGAGGAGCUUGCCCAUGCAGCAGGGGCAGCCAAACAAAACCAAACCAAACCGAUGUCAGCUGAAAUGCUGCCCCGAUAGCUCACCCAGGACCUCCAGCUCCUGGCACGCUCUCCCAUCACCAGAGAGUAAACAAGCCGGUCCCCCACGUGGGCCUGAGCCCCACCCUCUCUGUGGUUUGGCAGAAUCUUCUGGACUCUGGUGCUUCUCCAUCCUUGGGCUCCAGAGUCUCUCUUGGGAUUCCAGUUAGAGCCGCCGGCCCCUUAGGCAUUGCUGCUUUUCCGCUUGGUGUAUCCGGCCAAGUACACCAGACUCCCCAAGACGCCAGCGUCCCCUCCCCUCCCUUUCUGUGACACGCUGGUAGAGCAGUUCUCAAGCAGUAUUUUUGGGCCCUGGUAUUUUGCAGCGCUUUGGUGAAGGAGCUCUUUGGGUUUUUACUUGCUGGCUUCCUGUUCUCCGUGUGUUGGACGUGAAGCCCAUAGGGGGAGGGGGCUAGAGAGGCUGGCUAAGAACCAGUCUCCUUUCUCACUUAAGAUGGCACUCUCCUCGGACCACCAAGGCUUUCUCCUGAGCCUGGAUCGCUCUAUUCCUCAGCUGAAUGAUCUCCCAGGGGACAGGGGUAGCCCCCACCGGCACUUUCUUUCAAGUUCCCGCCCCUGGCAGGCGGGAACCUCCUGCAGGGGCACAUCUCAAGCCCAAGCUAAGAUCCCUACUAGAACGACAUCUUCGAGUGGUCCAGGGACCACCGCGUCCACCACAAGUACUCGGAGACGGACGCUGACCCCCACAACGCCCGGCGCGGCUUCUUCUUCUCUCACAUCGGGUGGCUGUUUGUCCGCAAGCACCGGGAUGUCAUCGAGAAGGGGAGGAAGCUGGACGUUACCGACCUGCUGGCUGACCCUGUGGUCCGGUUCCAGAGAAAGUAAGUGAACCGGCACCGCCCGCCUCCCUCGGGGACGGGCUGCAGUGACAUCCCCAAGCCGCUGGCCCCGAAGCACGUGACGGUCGGGUCUUCUUGUUGGGAUUUCCGUUGGUUCCGUCUCUUUCGCUCAUUACAAUUUCCCUCUUCCCCAUUUGUUUGAAUUGGGACUUGAUUUUGGAAUGGGUUUCCUUUAAGCCCACUUGUCAUUUCCUUUUCGACCCAUCCGCCUGGCUGAUUUCCUGGAAUGUGACUGUCGUUUUUUUCCUGUUUCCCGGGAGGCGAGGAGGACAGAGAUGACUGCUUUAUUUUGCAGAUAGACUUGAGUCCAAUGGGACUGGACUCUGUUGGGGGCCCUGCUCUCUUCUCCCAGAAUUCUCUUGGCUCAGUGUCUCCCCUCCCCCACUCCUGGCGGUGGAAACCCCAAUAGGUUUCUGGGCAGAGACCCACGUAACAAAGAGCCCCAAGGUGCUUGUGUGCACGAGUGGUGUCAGCUGAGCACAUUCAGUCCGUGCGCAUGUGCAUCUAUUUUCAGCCAGACGAGGCGAAAGACCCCUGUGAUUAUGCUGGCAAGUGGAGCUCGACCUCCGUUCACAUUUUAAGUAGGGAGCUGGCACGGGCUGUGCCCAUGCUGGUCUGGAUCUGCAGAGUCGGCCACGAUGAGAGCACUCCUGAAUGGGUUCGUUGCCCCAGAGCAACGGAUUUAUGUGCAAAGAGGGACAGUUUUUGGAUCCCCUCUGGUGGAGCCUUGAGAUGAUAUGAUGAACAAGGGGGUCACUGGACACCAUCUCCACUGAGAGGCAGGAGUCCUUUGAGGACUUAUCCAAACAGUGUCUCCUGAAAAUGGAAAUAGAGGCUGGCCUUUGACACAAGAGACCCUUGCAUGAGAGGAAGGACGGCUUAGAGAUGUACUCAUCCCCACCCCUGCCUCUCCUCUGACCUGGGAGCCAGUAGUAGCACACACAUGGUGAGAUGCCGGCUGGGGGAGACAGAGGCCCAGGCUCGUACUGA
This 2378-nucleotide long non-coding RNA is filed under the name Sus scrofa (pig). RNAcentral describes it as "lncRNA (ENSSSCG00030027712.1)". The record is from RNAcentral. Lineage: Eukaryota; Metazoa; Chordata; Mammalia; Artiodactyla; Suidae.